GGGCUCCAGAAUGAAAGGUAGUGGUGCGACUAGGCAAACAGGAAGAUACUUUAUACCAAGUCAGACCAUUUGGUCUGUCCAUCUCCAUACCGACUGUGCUGACUGGUGGAGAGGCGUGGAGAGUCCUACCCUCCCUUCGGUAACUUCACAGAUAAGAAUUAACAAGCAGUUUACAUUUUAUAGUCCUUUUUAUCCAAUCAUCUGGUUGCAAGCAAAAAUCCACAGCUCUCCACAAGGAGAGCAUUUGGCUACUCUAAAUCCUCCCCCUUCCGUCUCCCACAACAUCCUAGUUCUUGCGGAGGGAGGGCCCCACAAAACUCUAAUGACAUCUCUGCUGGCUGUUCCCUCCCUUCUGUUUCCUUGUCCACUAUCUCUUAGCUAGGCAACUCCUGUCUAAGCUGCUCAGUGUUUGUGUCUCCCUCUGCUUCUGAAACUGCUGGAUCUUCCCCCUCUUCCACCUUCUCCUUCAAAGAGGAGCUGAUUUGGCUGAGAAUGUAUUUCCCAAUCCUCUGAUUCAGACCAUUCCCUGGCAACUGGCAAUGGCUUUCCAGAGUUUCAGGCAGGGUUGUCUGUCCAACUAGAGAUCCUGGGGGUUGAAUUUGAGACCUUAUGUGUGUUAAACCUGUGAUACACCAUUACAGUCCAACCUUAUAUAAUUUUAGACCCUGACAACUGGGAUUUGCCCUUCAAAAUGAUGCCACUGACUUGGAAAGUAUUAAAAUGAACUUUAAACGAUCUUCCGGACCAUCUCCAGCAAAGAUUGUGUCCUGUGAAACUUCAUCGGAAUGGCCAUUAAUUCCGUUGCUUCCUCCCAAUUACCAUCCAGAGCAAUGCCAACUCACAGCACGGAAAUUAAUGCGACUAAAAUGCUACCUCCUCCCUGGGAAAUUGUAGAUGUCACGGCAACAAAUUGCUGCCGUUCACACAAAUAAGCUAGUAAAGCCGCAGAAUCUCUGAGAUUUAUGUUAUUUGUGUUUGAUAUUUUCAGCAUGUCUGCAUUUUAAAUGCAUUUUAAUGUAAAGGUUAAUGCAGUUUUAAUCAAGGUCAGAUGGCUACUCUAAUGGCCUACUCUUUUAAAACCUCUUUAGCUGGCUAGACAGAUAUUAUUAGCACCGAGUGCCAUUAGGGCGGAAAAAGCAUGAGUUUGAAUCCAAUGAUUCUUAUACCUUAAAUUAAUUUUCAACCCGAAAUUACAUUCAUUACAUACAUUUUCAAAAGUUUAAGAAAAAUGGCAUUAUCAAUAUAUUUCCCAUCAUAUGCUCCUGUGAACUCGCCACCUAUUAUCUAUUGCUAUAUUAGCAGGCCAGCUGCUCCUCCACCUAUUAAAUAUUGUUUCCUAUCCAGCAGUGUCAACCUCCAGCCCUCAGCAGAAUGAUGUCUGAGCAGCGAAAUUAGGACAAUUAAACUGCCCCUUCCUUGGUUAUUGAUCACUUCUGUAGUGAGAGAUGACCAUAUUAGGCCUCAAACUGUAGCCUAACCCAAUUGUGCUAUGUCAUAAUGGCUGUGCUUGUUUUGUGACUGUACUCAAUGCCAUGAACUCUAUCAUCGCCUCUUUUGCUGCCCAUGGCAGCCAUUUUGUGCUGACACCUACAGCCCUUUUAUCAAGAUAUGAGUAGAGGCAUCUCAGAUUUUCACCACACAAAAAGCACUGUAUGGUAGUCUAUUCAUUUAUGAGUCUAAGGAUCUGUGCCCAUGUCUUAAGAAUCCUAAGUUUUCAACCGGACCAAAUAUUAACAGAUGGGAACCAGUAAAGGCUGCUAAAAAAAGAGAGAGAGAAAUGAAUAGACUCAAUUUGACUGAACUAGAAUUUAUAAGCAAAUCUUAUGCUUAAUCAGAGCAACAGGCUUCUUUCCUACUACAGGUGUUAAUAUACAUAGCAUAACUAGAAAUACAGUAUUAUCACAACCACAGUUAUGAAUGGAUCGGUCUUUUCCCACCUUGAGUGUGAGCUCUUUGCAGAAAUUUCACAUAACGACAAAUUUCAUGGUCUUUUGACUUUUCUGUUUACAUUUAUAUAUUUUUCAUUUGCCAGUGCAUGUGUGUAUAUAUCUUCUAACAAAAGUUAAUACUUUGUACAUAUGAAAAAGUGGGUUUUAGCCCAGAAAAUCUUCUGCCACAAUAAAAGUUAGAUUUAAGGUGCCGUGACACUUGUUGCAUUGAUCCGUGGGGGAGAAACAGAGCACAAUGUGACAAUUCAUUCCUACAUUUGCCAAGAAGAAGAAUAAUAAUACCUAGCAUUUCUGUAGCACUUUUAUAGUGUUCAAUGCACUUCACACACGUUAUUGAACAUUUAAGUGCAUGCUUAAAAUAAAUCCCAUGGGGACAUCACCCCAGAAUUGGCCCUACUAAACAUCUUCCAAGACAACAAUGCCCAUUUACACCACAAAGAACUCAUAACCCACCUGCUCUCAGCAGCCAGAAACACCAUAACCAGACACUGGAGAGACCUGUCAGGAGUAAGCAUGGACCAAUGGUACCAAAUAGUAUGGGAAACAGCCCUACUAGAAAAAUUAACUAAUAAACUGAAACUGACAUGGGGACAAACAGAAGAAGACACCUUCACCCCAGUAUGGCUCCCCUUUAUCACAUACACAGCCCAACAGGACAAUUACAAUAAUCCACCAACAGCAUACAAAUCAAUAUGGCUAACCUGAUCCAAAACACCCACCCACCUCACUCACACACGAAAACAAAGAUCACCACAGCCAAUCACAAGCAAACAAUCACACCCUAGGCCAACCCCAACCUCUCUCACCACCAAAGGAACACAAGUGAACAACACAAGCAACGCUGACACCAAACUCUCCAUACAUUAAACAUAAUAGAAACACCGCCACCCGACCCCACCCCUAUCCAUCUUCCCUCUCUCCACCCUCCCCUUUCUUUUUUCUUUCUUUUUUCUUCUCCCCCUAAUGCCUCAACAAAUGAAACGGAUUUGUAAAAAUGUUACAUGGAAAAAAAAAUACGAGGCACUUUACACUUCUGUAAAACAAGAAAAUCCUUAAUAAAAUAUUUUUUUUAAAAAAAUAUGCAUGAAAAAAAUAAAUAAAUCCCAUGGGGAGUUGCAUUAAAUUCAAAGAUACUUAUUUGCAUGCUUUUCUUGUGAGAAUGGAGCGAAUCAUAUUUGAUUAUAAAUCUCACGAAAUCAUGGCACCCUAUAUAAUUGGCAGCCAGAAAAUGACCCCCUCACCACCAUUCUGAAAGAGUGAAAGAGACAAAAUUAAGUGGCAGGUGCCAGAAGAAUCCUGUGAAAUAAAUCAACUCUCUAAGACUUUCUGCAUUGGAAACAGUCUGUUUUACUUCUCAGUUUUAGAGAGACGUCUGCUCUGCAUGGGAAGUGGGUGGCGCAUCUUGAUGCUUUAGAAGAGAACAUAAUUUGAGCAUAAGAGAUUUGGGGUAGGUAGAGGGGAGUCAGAGAGAGAGAGAUAGCCUAAAAUCUUAUUUGUGCUUAGCUGAGAGUAAGUCAGCAGACAUGUUUAGAAUUUCAGUGUUAAAGGUUGUGGGGGUUUUUUCCUACCCCACAUUCCUUUCUUAGGUUGACGAUUUGUGGAGCAGUUAAUGAUCUUCAUUUUUAUCUGUGUGCGUACUGCUGCCUGCUUUGUGUCCUUGGUGUUUGGCAUGAUAUGAAUCUAGCUAAAAGGUAAAGGACCCCUGACAGUUAAGUCCAGUCGUGAACGACUCUGGGGUUGUGGUGCUCAUCUCGCUUUACUGGCCUAGGGAGCCGAUGUUUGUCCGCAGACAGUUUUUCCAGGUCAUGUGGCCAGCAGGACUAAGCCACUUCUGGCGAAACCAGAGCAGCGCAUGGAAACGCUGUUUACCUUCCCGCCGGAGCGGUACCUAUUUAUCUACUUGCACUUUGACGUGCUUUCGAACUGCUAGGUUGGCAGGAGCAGGGACCAAGCAACGGGAGCUCACCCCCUCGUGGGGAUUCGAACCGCCGACCUCCUGAUCGGUAAGCCCAAGAGGCUCAGUGGUUUAGACCGCAGCGCCACCAGCGUCCCAUGAAUCUAGCUAGCAGAGUGCAAACGGAGAAAGAGACUAAGCAAAACUGAAUUACACCAAAGGCAGCCACAUAUUACAUAUUUAGGUGCAUUUUCAGGUGAAACACGUAUCAUGGGAACUCUCAGCAGAGAGCAGUGGAUCGUCAAAGCUUAAUGCUGAAUGCACAGUAGGUGGCAAAGCCAGAGUUGUCCCUGUGAUCAUGUGUGAAAUGGUUCUGGGAACUCUCUAGCAACAUAGAUCUCAUUCAACUAAAUGGUCAUAAAUGAUGUCACUACUAAAAUGGCCAAGUACAUAGAAAGUCAGCACACCAGGACAACAGUCAUUGUUUCUAACCAACUAGCUUUCUUGGGCUAAGGAUUUUUUUAAUGUGGGAAAGCAUUCAGUAUGCUUAAGCAAUAUAUUAAUAGAACAAUUUUAUCAUGCAUUUUUUUCCCUGACCAUGUGGAUUCACCUUGAUGACAUGACUGGCCCCUGACAAGCACACGUGUGUUACAGAUUAGAGUCCACCGCAAGAAUUCCUCUGACCCUAACCAGAAUACAUGUGCUACAGCUGCACAGUCUUCCUAUGAUAUUCCAGCUCAAUGAGUUGGGAUGUCGAUGGAUGGUGCUUCUGGGGAUAUGUGUUUCAUCAAAAGACAUCCAAUGUAUGGGAUGUCUUUUGCUCUCAUCGUCACAUACUGCAUCUUCACCUCCUCACAUCACAUAGGAGCCAACUCCUAUGACCUGUCACUUGCAUAGAGUUUCUAUCCUGGGAGAACAGCAUCCCAGUGAUUUACUAUUGUUCUUUCGGGUCUCUAAUAUACUCACUAACUUGUGUUCUCUUUGGGUAUCUGCUAUGGUCAUUCAGCCAUUUGAGGCUUCCUAAAUUGCAUGUGGGAUGCCGGUGGCUCUGUGGUCUAAACCACUGAGUCUCUCAGGCUUGCUGAUCAGGAAGUCGGCGGUUCAAAUCCCCGAGACAGGGUGCGCUCCCAUUGCUCGGUCCCAGCUCCUGCCAACCUAGUAUUUUGAAAGCACCCAAAAAGUGCAAGUAGAUAGGUACCACUCCAGCGGGAAGGUAAACAGCGUUUCCGUGCGCUGCUCUGGUUUCCAUGUUCCAUUGUGCCAGAAACGGCUUAGUCAUGCUGGCCACAUGACCUGGAAAAACUGUCCGUGGACAAACGCCGGCUCCCUCGGCCUGUAAAGCGAGAUGAGCACCAACUCUUCUGCUGAGAUGCAAAGACCAGCACAGCUUAGGGUAUCUCUACUUUAUGGCGUUUCCGUGUGCUGCUCUGGUUCGCCAGAAGCGGCUUAGUCAUGCUGGCCACAUGACCCGGAAGCUGUAUGCUGGCUCCCUCGGCCAGUAAAGCGAGAUGAGCGCUGCAACCCCAGAGUCGGCCACGACUGGACCUAAUGGUCAGGGGUCCCUUUACCUUUACUUUACGUCGUUAGACAGAACUAGGGUAUUUCCUAUCAAGCAUGUAGUGGCUUUUUCAUUUUCCCAUGCUCAAGAGUUUCAGUGUGCUUCUCCAACGGGGAUUCAGUUUUAAGUUCAACUUCUGCUGAGUUAAAAUAACUCCAAAACGCCAACACCCCACCCCUGAUUUAAGCAUUGGCUUAAAUCUCUGCCACUGAAAUACAGGAACUUAAAAUAACAUAGUCCCCUCCCACAUUGUGCCCUAAACAUUUUGAACGGCAUCCUAGAAUCUCAUGUGUCUGAAUGACUGAAUAAUUCCUCAAAAAUCAUAAGGCCCCUUUGACCUCCGUCGAGUUUACAGGAAUGGGUUCUUCCUUUCCUUUCAUUGUAAACAGCUACGUUAGGUUAAUUGGGAUCUAAACUCGGUUGUUUUUUAUGAGUGUUUUUAAAAUGUGGUAGGUUUGAUGGGGUUUUUUUCCCUGCCUGCAAAAAGGCGCCUUGUCAAAUUUGGGAUUCUCUUUGCCUCCUCGCGAUAGCAGGUUUUUUUUUUCUUUUUAAUUAAAAGGUCACAGCAGCCAAUUGGAUCGGAUUGGUAUCGAAACGGCACGUUGCUCUUUUUCGUCGUUUGAGCUUUUCUUCAGGAAAACGGGUCCUCGCUUGUGGCACAGCUUUCAAGACGAUUGUUUCCCCAGAAAUCAGGAUAGAAGCGCAUUUGGAACAAGACAAGAUUGUCGCCCUUUCCCCAAUUAAUUCUUCCUGACAAACGCGCUGGUCAGUCUCUCUGUGCUCAACCUUUAAAUAUAAUAGGAUCCUCUCUGCUUUUUAAAAUCAAAGUCUCCGGCAUACAGUUCAGUACUCAGAAGUGAACGCAAGCCUCCUUUACAGCGCAGCCUUGUGCGUAUCUACUCAGAAGGAAGCCCCGUUGAAGUCACCGAGGCUUACUCCCAGGUAACUGUGUAUAGAAUCGCAGUCUUAAACAGAUGCUUUUUCAGAUUCAGACCCAACCAUCUUUAAUUUGGACGUGAGUCACGCUGAAAUCUAUGGAGCUUAUUUCCAAAUCCAUGGCGUUUACUUGCAAGUAAUUACCAUUUAAAAUCGGGGGAUAAAAGAAUCAGCUUGAAACUCCCAGUGGAAAGGACGUUACGACCAAACGGGAUAUUUAAACCAUUAACGCACAAAGUUAUCAUUCCAC
RNAcentral lists this long non-coding RNA (6587 nucleotides) under Podarcis lilfordi (Lilford's wall lizard). The record is from RNAcentral. Lineage: Eukaryota; Metazoa; Chordata; Lepidosauria; Squamata; Lacertidae.